CCAUCCCGAACACGGAAGUUAAGCCUCUCAGGGCCGAUGGUACUGCAUGGGUAACUGUGUGGGAGAGUAGGUCGCCGCAGUGA
Molecule: ribosomal RNA, 83 nt
Filed under: Geobacter sp.
Lineage: Bacteria; Pseudomonadati; Thermodesulfobacteriota; Desulfuromonadia; Geobacterales; Geobacteraceae
Source: RNAcentral